RNAcentral lists this ribosomal RNA (253 nucleotides) under uncultured bacterium. RNAcentral's name for it is "partial 16S ribosomal RNA". It matches the Rfam family "Bacterial small subunit ribosomal RNA", at positions 524 to 776 of the family's 1533-position model. The record is from RNAcentral.
UACGUAGGGACCGAGCGUUGUCCGGAAUCAUUGGGCGUAAAGGGCGCGUAGGCGGCCAUGCGUGUCUUCCGUGAAAUCCCUCGGCUUAACUGAGGACGUGCGGAAGAAACUGCAAGGCUCGAGUCCGGGAGAGGGGGGUGGAAUUCCCAGUGUAGCGGUGAAAUGCGUAGAUAUUGGGAGGAACACCGGUGGCGAAGGCGGCCCCCUGGACCGGUACUGACGCUGAGGCGCGAAAGCUAGGGGAGCAAACGGG